GCCGCCGGGCCCGCGCCCCGGGCGGUACCGACACCUGCUGGGCAGAGCGCGGCCGCGAGGUCGCUGCGGAGCUGGGCGGCCUUAAUAUGGCUGCUGUUUGUGUGCGGCCGACUGGGUGUGUUCCAGGCGCGCUCCACACUACGUUGCAAGGUGGCUGCUGCCAUGGUCGUGUUGCAUCGGAGGAAACGGAAAUUCAGAGAAGUAAAGUAACUUGCCCAAGGUCACGCAGAACUGGGACGGAACCCAGAAACCAGACUCUAGGAUUCCAAGGCUCCUUUUUCCAUUACGCCAAUACAGCCUGUAUUUCAGGAAGGCCCUAAAUUGUUAAAAAACAAAACUAAGUAUUGCUGCGGUGUCAUUCCAAGCCCUUGUUCCCCGUUUGAGCCAAAUUUAAAGGUAAUUUGAUGUUUGAGUUUUCCCUGUCUCCUACUAAUGCUGCAGGCUGGAAGGAAUUCCAAUCAGACUUCAAAGUGAAGAUGCAAAAAGAAGGAAGAGACAAAUUAAUACCAAUCACCUGAGUAUAAUAAACAAGUGAAGAUGGUAUUUUUGUGUGUGCCUAGCAUAUGUGAGAUGCUGUUCUAGUCACUAGGGGUACAAUAGUGAAUAAAACAGAAAAAUAAUCCUCACUUGUAUGUAGCACACAGUGAGAAAGAAUGAAAAGGUAAAUAUAAUUAUGGCACGUUAGAACCUGAUAAUGCUAAGCAAGGAAACCAAGAGAUACCAGGAAAAGUUGGAGUAUAAGUCAAGGGUUGAAGUGCUGGAAAGACCAUAGCAGAAAAACAGUGUGCAGCGCACUCUUUUUUAAGUAUUUUUGACAGGAAGCUUCUGGCUAGGCUUUUACCUACUGUCUGACAUGACCUGUGGGCAUUUGGCUGCAGGUGAAGAAUUCCAAAUGGAGAAGACACUAUCAGUGCUUGCAGCUGUCUGCCAGAGAGAGCUACCUUCAUGUCCUGCCGGCACUUCGAACUCCAAAAGUUUAAAAUAGCUUUCACCCCAGCCUACUCUUUCAUUUCAAGUCUUUGCUAAUCAUGCAGUUGUCUGAGAUGGACACAUCAGAGUCGCCACUGG
Molecule: non-coding RNA, 1068 nt
Organism: Kogia breviceps (pygmy sperm whale)
Lineage: Eukaryota; Metazoa; Chordata; Mammalia; Artiodactyla; Physeteridae
Source: RefSeq, a predicted model, not a curated record